AGACCCGAAACCCGGUGAUCUAGCCAUGGGCAGGUUGAAGGUUGGGUAACACUAACUGGAGGACCGAACCGACUAAUGUUGAAAAAUUAGCGGAUGACCUGUGGCUGGGGGUGAAAGGCCAAUCAAACCGGGAGAUAGCUGGUUCUCCCCGAAAGCUAUUUAGGUAGCGCCUCGUGAAUUCAUCUCCGGGGGUAGAGCACUGUUUCGGCUAGGGGGCCAUCCCGGCUUACCAACCCGAUGCAAACUGCGAAUACCGGAGAAUGUUAUCACGGGAGACACACGGCGGGUGCUAACGUCCGUCGUGAAGAGGGAAACAACCCAGACCGCCAGCUAAGGUCCCAAAGUCAUGGUUAAGUGGGAAACGAUGUGGGAAGGCCCAGACAGCCAGGAUGUUGGCUUAGAAGCAGCCAUCAUUUAAAGAAAGCGUAAUAGCUCACUGGUCGAGUCGGCCUGCGCGGAAGAUGUAACGGGGCUAAACCAUGCACCGAAGCUGCGGCAGCGAACGUAUCACCCAAGACAACUUUACGGAGUUGACGAUUGACGGAGCGAAGCGACGUCAAAGCGUUCAUUAAAGUCGAGUUGGCUUAGGGAUACGUUCGUUGGGUAGGGGAGCGUUCUGUAAGCCUGUGAAGGUGUGUCGUGAGGCAUGCUGGAGGUAUCAGAAGUGCGAAUGCUGACAUAAGUAACGAUAAAGCGGGUGAAAAGCCCGCUCGCCGGAAGACCAAGGGUUCCUGUCCAACGUUAAUCGGGGCAGGGUGAGUCGACCCCUAAGGCGAGGCCGAAAGGCGUAGUCGAUGGGAAACGGGUUAAUAUUCCCGUACUUGGUGUUACUGCGAAGGGGGGACGGAGAAGGCUAUGUUGGCCGGGCGACGGUUGUCCCGGUUUAAGCGUGUAGGUGUGUGUUCCAG
This 908-nucleotide ribosomal RNA is filed under the name Salmonella enterica. RNAcentral's name for it is "partial 23S ribosomal RNA". It matches the Rfam family "Bacterial large subunit ribosomal RNA", at positions 711 to 1535 of the family's 2925-position model. The record is from RNAcentral. Lineage: Bacteria; Pseudomonadati; Pseudomonadota; Gammaproteobacteria; Enterobacterales; Enterobacteriaceae. RNAcentral also lists the same sequence under 1 other name.